This 76-nucleotide transfer RNA is filed under the name Nitrospirales bacterium. Its description in RNAcentral is "tRNA-Ala". It matches the Rfam family "tRNA". From Rfam's summary of the family: Transfer RNA (tRNA) molecules are approximately 80 nucleotides in length. Their secondary structure includes four short double-helical elements and three loops (D, anti-codon, and T loops). The record is from RNAcentral. Lineage: Bacteria; Pseudomonadati; Nitrospirota; Nitrospiria; Nitrospirales.
GGGGCUGUAGCUCAGUUGGGAGAGCACCUGCUUUGCAAGCAGGGGGUCGGCGGUUCGAAACCGCUCAGCUCCACCA